CAGUUGGAAACGACUGCUAAUACCGUAUGUGCCCUAUGGGGGAAAGAUUUAUCGCCUAAGGAUGGGCCCGCGUUGGAUUAGCUAGUUGGUGGGGUAAAGGCCUACCAAGGCGACGAUCCAUAGCUGGUCUGAGAGGAUGAUCAGCCACACUGGGACUGAGACACGGCCCAGACUCCUACGGGAGGCAGCAGUGGGGAAUAUUGGACAAUGGGCGCAAGCCUGAUCCAGCCAUGCCGCGUGAGUGAUGAAGGCCCUAGGGUUGUAAAGCUCUUUCAGCGAGGAGGAUAAUGACGUUACUCGCAGAAGAAGCCCCGGCUAACUUCGUGCCAGCAGCCGCGGUAAUACGAAGGGGGCUAGCGUUGUUCGGAAUCACUGGGCGUAAAGCGCACGUAGGCGGACUUUUAAGUCAGGGGUGAAAUCCCGGGGCUCAACCCCGGAACUGCCUUUGAUACU
RNAcentral lists this ribosomal RNA (453 nucleotides) under Stappia sp. N3mIS7. Its description in RNAcentral is "bacterial SSU rRNA". It matches the Rfam family "Bacterial small subunit ribosomal RNA", at positions 147 to 634 of the family's 1533-position model. The record is from RNAcentral. Lineage: Bacteria; Pseudomonadati; Pseudomonadota; Alphaproteobacteria; Hyphomicrobiales; Stappiaceae.